This 539-nucleotide long non-coding RNA is filed under the name Brassica napus (rape). RNAcentral's name for it is "long non-coding RNA (BNAP_LNC024599)". Lineage: Eukaryota; Viridiplantae; Streptophyta; Magnoliopsida; Brassicales; Brassicaceae. The record is from RNAcentral.
CCAGGUACACAUAUUAUUUUAAGACCAGAAGGAGAAAAAUAAUAAAGCUGGUAAAAGAAUGGUAAAAGAAAUAGAAUGGAAUCAACCAUCAAUGUCUUGGCAAGAUCCUCGGACUAAAGAAUGUGAAAUAGAUGUCCAAAUAUUAUACAUUUACAAAGCUAGCUAAUCAAAUGCCAGACACAUUUUCUGACCCGAAAAAGAAUGACUAAGUCAUAUAUACACCAAUUUGUAAAGCACCAACGAAUUUGAUGUCCAAGAAGAGACACAGUCAAGUUGCUACAGAGUCUAGAAAACGUAUGAAACGUGGUAGAACAAAUAGGUUCCAAAAGAUAAGAAUCCUCGGAAACAAAAGAAAGGUGCAGAAAAUGAUAAUCAAAAUCCAAAUCCGAGGUUACUAACGAAACCAUCCUAGACAUGGAGGUAAGGCUGGCCGGCUCUAAGGUACAUGUACCAAACAAUGUAGUUUGGGACGCCAAGCUGCAAAGUAUUAAGGGUCCUGAUAAUAAUGAAUCUCAAUCGAUUAUAUCAUGUCUGGAACA